GAUGAACGCUGGCGGCGUGCCUAAUACAUGCAAGUCGAGCGAACGGACGAGAAGCUUGCUUCUCUGAUGUUAGCGGCGGACGGGUGAGUAACACGUGGAUAACCUACCUAUAAGACUGGGAUAACUUCGGGAAACCGGAGCUAAUACCGGAUAAUAUUUUGAACCGCAUGGUUCAAAAGUGAAAGACGGUCUUGCUGUCACUUAUAGAUGGAUCCGCGCUGCAUUAGCUAGUUGGUAAGGUAACGGCUUACCAAGGCAACGAUGCAUAGCCGACCUGAGAGGGUGAUCGGCCACACUGGAACUGAGACACGGUCCAGACUCCUACGGGAGGCAGCAGUAGGGAAUCUUCCGCAAUGGGCGAAAGCCUGACGGAGCAACGCCGCGUGAGUGAUGAAGGUCUUCGGAUCGUAAAACUCUGUUAUUAGGGAAGAACAUAUGUGUAAGUAACUGUGCACAUCUUGACGGUACCUAAUCAGAAAGCCACGGCUAACUACGUGCCAGCAGCCGCGGUAAUACGUAGGUGGCAAGCGUUAUCCGGAAUUAUUGGGCGUAAAGCGCGCGUAGGCGGUUUUUUAAGUCUGAUGUGAAAGCCCACGGCUCAACCGUGGAGGGUCAUUGGAAACUGGAAAACUUGAGUGCAGAAGAGGAAAGUGGAAUUCCAUGUGUAGCGGUGAAAUGCGCAGAGAUAUGGAGGAACACCAGUGGCGAAGGCGACUUUCUGGUCUGUAACUGGCGCUGAUGUGCGAAAGCGUGGGGAUCAAACAGGAUUAGAUACCCUGGUAGUCCACGCCGUAAACGAUGAGUGCUAAGUGUUAGGGGGUUUCCGCCCCUUAGUGCUGCAGCUAACGCAUUAAGCACUCCGCCUGGGGAGUACGACCGCAAGGUUGAAACUCAAAGGAAUUGACGGGGACCCGCACAAGCGGUGGAGCAUGUGGUUUAAUUCGAAGCAACGCGAAGAACCUUACCAAAUCUUGACAUCCUUUGACAACUCUAGAGAUAGAGCUUUCCCCUUCGGGGGACAAAGUGACAGGUGGUGCAUGGUUGUCGUCAGCUCGUGUCGUGAGAUGUUGGGUUAAGUCCCGCAACGAGCGCAACCCUUAAGCUUAGUUGCCAUCAUUAAGUUGGGCACUCUAAGUUGACUGCCGGUGACAAACCGGAGGAAGGUGGGGAUGACGUCAAAUCAUCAUGCCCCUUAUGAUUUGGGCUACACACGUGCUACAAUGGACAAUACAAAGGGCAGCGAAACCGCGAGGUCAAGCAAAUCCCAUAAAGUUGUUCUCAGUUCGGAUUGUAGUCUGCAACUCGACUACAUGAAGCUGGAAUCGCUAGUAAUCGUAGAUCAGCAUGCUACGGUGAAUACGUUCCCGGGUCU
RNAcentral lists this ribosomal RNA (1372 nucleotides) under uncultured bacterium. RNAcentral's name for it is "bacterial SSU rRNA". It matches the Rfam family "Bacterial small subunit ribosomal RNA", at positions 28 to 1381 of the family's 1533-position model. The record is from RNAcentral.